RNAcentral lists this ribosomal RNA (524 nucleotides) under uncultured bacterium. RNAcentral describes it as "partial 16S ribosomal RNA". It matches the Rfam family "Bacterial small subunit ribosomal RNA", at positions 28 to 523 of the family's 1533-position model. The record is from RNAcentral.
GACGAACGCUGGCGGCGUGCCUAAUACAUGCAAGUCGAGCGCAGGAAACUGACGGAACUCUUCGGAGGGAAGGCAGCGGAAUGAGCGGCGGACGGGUGAGUAACACGUAAGGAACCUGCCUCAAGGAUUGGGAUAACUCCGAGAAAUCGGAGCUAAUACCGGAUAGUUCAUCGGACCGCAUGGUCCGUUGAUGAAAGGCGCUUCGGCGUCACCUUGAGAUGGCCUUGCGGUGCAUUAGCUAGUUGGUGGGGUAACGGCCCACCAAGGCGACGAUGCAUAGCGGACCUGAGAGGGUGAUCGGCCACACUGGGACUGAGACACGGCCCAGACUCCUACGGGAGGCAGCAGUAGGGAAUCUUCCACAAUGGACGAAAGUCUGAUGGAGCAACGCCGCGUGAGUGAUGAAGGUUUUCGGAUCGUAAAACUCUGUUGUAAGGGAAGAACACGUACGAGAGGGAAUGCUCGUACCUUGACGGUACCUUACGAGAAAGCCACGGCUAACUACGUGCCAGCAGCCGCCGUAA